GCACCCUGUGCGGGCAUAAGAACAUGACCGGCCUGCACUCUGUGUUCCCUCUCGAUCCGCACUUCACGAGAGGGAACACAGUAACGUUAGUAUGAAGAGGCAUAUAUUGUGUGUAUGUAUAAUUGCAACGUCACAAAAUAUUUUGUGUGUUUACGAAGAUACUUUCAUUCAAAAAAUAGAAUAAAGAGUGUAUAGUUUUAGAAAUAACAGAUUUUAUAUUAUCAUUAAUUAAAAUUGUAUUGUAUAUGUGUCGUAAUUCUUUAUUUUCG
RNAcentral lists this long non-coding RNA (269 nucleotides) under Brassica napus (rape). RNAcentral's name for it is "long non-coding RNA (BNAP_LNC014850)". The record is from RNAcentral. Lineage: Eukaryota; Viridiplantae; Streptophyta; Magnoliopsida; Brassicales; Brassicaceae.